This 492-nucleotide ribosomal RNA is filed under the name uncultured bacterium. Its description in RNAcentral is "bacterial SSU rRNA". It matches the Rfam family "Bacterial small subunit ribosomal RNA", at positions 28 to 507 of the family's 1533-position model. The record is from RNAcentral.
GAUGAACGCUAGCUACAGGCUUAACACAUGCAAGUCGAGGGGAAACGACAUCGAAAGCUUGCUUUUGGUGGGCGUCGACCGGCGCACGGGUGAGUAACGCGUAUCCAACCUGCCCACCACUUGGGGAUAACCUUGCGAAAGUAAGACUAAUACCCAAUGAUAUCCCACGAAGGCAUCCGAAUGGGAUUAAAGAUUUAUCGGUGAUGGAUGGGGAUGCGUCUGAUUAGCUUGUUGGCGGGGUAACGGCCCACCAAGGCAACGAUCAGUAGGGGUUCUGAGAGGAAGGUCCCCCACAUUGGAACUGAGACACGGUCCAAACUCCUACGGGAGGCAGCAGUGAGGAAUAUUGGUCAAUGGACGAGAGUCUGAACCAGCCAAGUAGCGUGCAGGACGACGGCCCUAUGGGUUGUAAACUGCUUUUAUAAGGGAAUAAAGUGAGUCUCGUGAGACUUUUUGCAUGUACCUUAUGAAUAAGGACCGGCUAAUUCCGUG